GCUUCUUCAAUGAAGGCCCCAAGCUUUGAUAUGUCUGCGAGAACGCCGAGGCAGCAGUAGCUGUCUCCGCGCCUAAGAGAAGCUUGGCCCUGCUUAUAUUUCCCGGACCGCAACGCUUCGACCCACUGCGCCUUGAGCUUCGCGUCCAUGAUUUGCCCCUUCGCCAAACUCAGUCUCGGAACCGCCUGUUGGCCGCGUGGCCGGCAUUGUGGCGAACCUUGUCUGAACCCUUUUCCGCCACCCCAAUGGGUAAGCUCAU
This 259-nucleotide unclassified non-coding RNA is filed under the name Hevea brasiliensis (rubber tree). Lineage: Eukaryota; Viridiplantae; Streptophyta; Magnoliopsida; Malpighiales; Euphorbiaceae. The record is from RNAcentral.